UUCCGGUUGAUCCUGCCGGACCCUACUGCUAUCGGGGGAGGACUAAAACAUGCAAGUCGUGCGCCUCCAAGCCAUGGUGGAGACGCGGCAUAUGGCUCAGUAACACGUGGCUAACCCACCCUUGAGACGGAGAAAACCCCGGGAAACUGGGGCUAAUCCCCGAUAAGAGAAGACACCUGGAACGGGUCUCCUCUCAAAAGGCGCCUAGACCAUGCUUUUAGGCGCUGCUCAAGGACGGGGCCGCGGCCGAUCAGGUUGUUGGUGAGGCAACGGCUCACCAAGCCUAUAACCGGUACGGGCCGUGAGAGCGGGAGCCCGGAGAUGGGCACUGAGACAAGGGCCCAGGCCCUACGGGGCGCAGCAGUUGCGAAAACUCCGCAAUGCACGAAAGUGUGACGGGGCUACCCCGAGUGCCGUCCGCUGAGGGCGGCUUUUCCCCGGUGUAAGGAGCCGGGGGAAUAAGGAGAGGGCAAGUCUGGUGUCAGCCGCCGCGGUAAUACCAGCUCUCCGAGUGGUAGGGAUGAUUAUUGGGCUUAAAGCGUCCGUAGCCGGCCCGGCAAGUCUUCCGUUAAAUCCAACGAUUCAAUCGUCGGACUGCGGGAGAUACUGUUGGGCUAGGAGGCGGGAGAGGCCGACGGUAUUCUCGGGGUAGGGGUAAAAUCCUAUAAUCCCGGGAAGACCACCAGUGGCGAAGGCGGUCGGCUAGAACGCGCUCGACGGUGAGUGACGAAAGCUGGGGGAGCGAACCGGAUUAGAUACCCGGGUAGUCCCGGCUGUAAACGAUGCGGGCUAGGUGUUGGGGCGGCUACGGGCCGCUUCAGUGCCGCAGGGAAACCGUUAAGCCCGCCGCCUGGGGAGUACGG
RNAcentral lists this ribosomal RNA (863 nucleotides) under uncultured archaeon. RNAcentral's name for it is "bacterial SSU rRNA". It matches the Rfam family "Archaeal small subunit ribosomal RNA", at positions 1 to 840 of the family's 1478-position model. The record is from RNAcentral.